GAUGAACGCUAGCGGCGUGCCUAAUGCAUGCAAGUCGAACGGGAUCCUUGGAUUCGUCUGAGGUGAGAGUGGCGAACGGGUGAGUAACGCGUUGGUGACCUGCCCUAGAGAGGGGGACAACCAGUGGAAACGCUGGCUAAUACCCCGGAUGUUAUUGUGCUUAGAAAACAAUGACUGAAGCCUAAACGUAUGUGACGGCGCUCUAGGAGGGGCCUGCGUCCCAUCAGCUAGUUGGUAAGGUAAUGGCUUACCAAGGCAAAGACGGGUA
RNAcentral lists this ribosomal RNA (268 nucleotides) under uncultured bacterium. RNAcentral describes it as "partial 16S ribosomal RNA". It matches the Rfam family "Bacterial small subunit ribosomal RNA", at positions 28 to 285 of the family's 1533-position model. The record is from RNAcentral.